Saccostrea cuccullata (small rock oyster) is the source of this 353-nucleotide long non-coding RNA. RefSeq lists it as uncharacterized. NCBI's taxonomy places the organism in Eukaryota, Metazoa, Mollusca, Bivalvia, Ostreida, Ostreidae. The transcript has 3 exons. The record is from RefSeq and is a predicted model, not a curated record.
AAAUGGAUUUUGCUGUGAAUAUUUUGAUCGAUCACUACAUUUUAUUUUAACAAUGAAACUUUGGAUACUUGCUUGUUUGUGUUCUUUAAACAGUUUGAUGGUGUUCUGUGAAAAUGUGUAUGGAGAUGGUGUUUGCAUAAAAGGAGACACCCGGUCAUGCUGCAAGGACUUCAAACCUGUUGGAAACAUGUGUGUAGAAUGUGAUCCUGGGUACCGCGGCUAUAAUUGUUCCGAGACCUGUCCUCCCAACCACUAUGGACGAAGAUGUUAUGGUGUAUGUGACUGUACACCCUAUCAGUAUUGUGAUUCAGAAAAGGGGUGCUUGUGUAACACGACCAGCGAUAAUUGUGCAU